AUGGCGGGUCACAGUGACCCACCAGCCGAGUGGGCGAGAAAACUUCGCCGCUUCGAGACAGUUUCCCGAGUUCAUUGUCAGUAGUGCAAAUCUCACUCAGUGAUGCAUUUGAAGGUCCUUUUCGCGUUGGUGAUUUUGUUUGCCGUUAGGUUCCGGGUGGCGGCGACCUCCUCGAGCGACGAGCGGACGAGAGAGCGGCAGAACGGAUUCAAAGGGAAGAACUACUCUCUGGGGGCGCCCAAUUCCAACUCGCGGAAGCUCCAACGCGAGGAGUCGACCAGCGGAGAGAGCGAGGAGAACGAGAAAGACACCCGUGACCGGGCCCAACUCCCGGCCCCUGCUCACUCGCACAGGGGUCACCGACACCCCCUUGGGCCCGCCGGCGCUGGGGGAGGUGUAGGAGGAGGCGGAGGGGGUGGCGCCCCUUUCUCCCAGUAUAGCUACGGAUACUCGAUCCCCGACCAUGAGUUCGACCACAACCAGAAUCAAGGCCGGUACCAUAAUGAGGGUUCGCAAAACUACCAGCGGCCGACCCCACCUCAGCAUUUCUUCCACCACAGCCCUUACGACCGGUUCCAGCAGUACGACUACGACGCGGAGCGAGAGCGGGCGGCCAAGUCGGGACCUGAAGCGCCGCCACCCCCGCGGGCCCACCAACCCCACCACCCCCACCAGGGCCACCAGGGCGUCCCUGCCUUGCGGCACGUGAUCCCGGUGGCGCGGCUGGCGUCGCCGUUCUCGUACCCGCUGGGCUACUCGCCGCCGGUGACGCCCUUCGGGUUCCUCCCCCACUUGGCGCCCCCGAUCACCUACCUGGCCCAACCGACGCCCGUCAUCUCCCAGUCCGUCCCGGCCGUCGUCGCCUCCGCCACACACGGCGCCCAGAUCGCCCUCCCCGUCGCCCACGCCGGCGUCGCUGACGUCCCCUACCACGUCACCACCGCCGGGGACGAGACCCAGCUCCAAGCCCACCAACAGUGAGCGUCGUGCGAGGAUAAAACUUCCGGUAAAAUUGAGAGAAAUUAAGUUUUUGAUGUAACCGGAGUAGUCAUAUUGAUACAGCUUUCCCGGGACUUCAAGAGGAAACAUUGCUGAUACUCCGAUAUUUACCUGACUUACAAUGGAGACGUUGCAUGUGUUAGGAAUUUGCGAUUUGACAAUUGAUUCUUAUGUAAAAGUUCGCGAGAAACACGAUGGUGCCACUGGUUUUCUCUGAUAUUAACUCCCAAGAUCAAAAAAGCUCUCAGUUGAGGCCAAAAUGGAGGGGAUAUCCCACGCUACCCCGAGAGUCCACCUCUACAUUAAGACAAUCUCUGCAUGCAAAGAUAAGGGGUUCUCAGACGAUCAAUAUGAGCUAUCAAUAUCUCAUCAAUAUAGAGCGGCGCCGCUCUAUAUUGAUGCCUCGAAGAGCUGUGAUUGGUCGUACAAGCUGCGCGCGCAUUAUGACCUUGAUAUAUUGAUAGCUCAUAUUGAUUGUCUAAGAACCCCUAAUGGGAGCAAUACAUUGACAGGGCUGCCACUUUAUUUGGGACCUCAAAUUGAAAUCACGGCAACCCGGUCAGUGUAUUAGCUCCCUAUCUUUGCAUGGAGAUUUUGUCUUGAUGUAAAGGUGGACUCUCAGGAUAGCGUGGGAUAUCCCCUCCAUUUUGGCUUCAACUUGAGACUUUUUUGAGCUUGGGAGUCGAUUUCAGAGAAAACCAGUGGCACCAUCGUGUUUCUCGCGAACUUUUACGUAAGUAAAAGUUCCUCACACAUGCAAAAUCUCCAUUGGAAGAACUCGGUCAUCAACGGUGUAUUGAAGCUAUCAACGUUUCAUCGUGGUAACAGGAAAUCUGUUGGCAUGAAAUUCGGGUUUUUAAAAAUUAAAUAUUUCCUCUGCGGCAUGAUUUUGGAAAUUUUCAUUAGUUUUUCUUUUUUUUUGAACCACUAAUUCCCAAAAAUUCAAAAUUUUGAAAAAAAUUGGUACUCCAUGUUUUUCAUGCUGGCUACAUGCUACCAAAUAGAUUAGUGUCCCCCAGAAUCUAAGAUCCAAAAUUAAUUCAUGCCAUGGAGGGUAGUCCAAACUUUCUGAGUACCUCAACCAUUAUUCGAGUUAUAUAAAUACGUAAACCAAUCAAAUGAAUUCUUACGAUGGAAUCGUUAAAAGUUACGACUUAAUCCUCUGAAUCGAAAUUUAGCUUGGGGGUCAAGACAAUUUGUCUCAUUGUCAGUGCAAGAUAGGAUUUUAUCUUCAGUACUUCGUAAGGAACGACAAAGUUUCAAGUCCAUACAACCAACAUUCCAGUCGUAAAAUCGAACCUAGGUUCAGAUAUCCUAAGUUUUCGAUGCAAACGAGCCUAGAAAAGACGAGCAGAAACUCUAGUUACAUGCGCUAAAACCCACAACCUUCAACCGAAAAGUUCGAUUACCUGGACUGAAAACUGUUAUUUCAUACGGACUAAAGUUUCAUUUUAUUUUAUUGUUUUUUUUUUCGAAUAAACCGAAGAAUGUGUCAUAGCUGUAACACAUCACAAAAAGCCGUGCAAAAUCCAUGCCUCAAAUAUAUAAUCCGCUCUGGUUUUUGGGAGGUUUCAAUACUUUAGGGGAGGGGAUGUGUGUCCAACUUUCAAUGUUGAUCCAACUCUGGUUAUAGGCUUAUAGUUAUACGGUUUGAAAUAUUGUAAAUGAAUGUUGCUUCAUACGAACCCUAUUUUUCUUUUUGGGUAAUAAAAAAUUUUCAAGUAAGAAAAAACAACUUAAUUUUACGUCAAUUAACACUAAUCAAUGGGGCACGUCCAAUUUAAGGGCUAGCGAAGACAAGCUAUGCGGGCAUUCCUUGUUAAUCCAGACAAACAGAGCAGAUCCUCCCUUCGUUUAAAAAAAUGAACGAAUCAAUACUUAAAAAUGUGAUAAAACUUGACUACAAAAGUUUCAAAGGAUUUACGUAAACACACUUGCACUUAAAAGCACUGCGUUAUCCUUUAAAGGCAAAAACAGAAUCCCAAUCAAUUCACCAGCCGCGUCUAGGGUGUAGAUAAAAGGAUAAAUACAUUCAUCUCGCUCUGUUAACUCCAAAUUCAGCUUGAACCGGAGGGCACGAGGCCAUUGAUAAGCUAAAAUGACUGAUUGUUCUCAACUUGAACCAGCAUCGCAAAACAUUGUAGCGACUUCCAAUAGAGGAAGCAAGAAGCCAUGAGAACGGCUCGCGUUCCUAAAACAGCGUUCCAUAGCGGAAUUUCUUCGAUGAAAUUUCAUAUUUUGCAAGGCGCGUUUCAGGGCGGCGAAGAGUGAGUGUGAACUGUAACGAAACGAGGAACCGCUGCUGCGUAUAUCAUUAGUUUUUAUUGGCGCGGUUACGCGCGGACGCCGAACAUCCGCCGAACUCCCCGUCGCACAGUGCACUAAACCAUCGGAGUAGGUUUUUUUUUUUUUUUUUUUUAAUGAUUCUUACCCAUGGUGGUGACAAAAAUGAGUUCCUUCACACCCCAAUCCAUUCGAGGCACGAGAGAAAGCGAUUGGGAGAAGUUGAACGUAACAUUUUUGACUAAACUGCAAAUUUUAAUGUUUAUUUCGUCACUCUAUGACUCACAAAGAAUGUUUAUUCAAUUGUGACAAUGUUGAUCAACCAAUAUUAAUAAAAUGGUGACUGGAGAUAAUUUUUAGCGUUCUUUUCAUUUUUGACCUUCAAAGAAAGGAAAACUCAUUUUGAGGGAGGUUUGCGGAGGUAUUGAACCUAAACGAGGCCAAAAUUAUUGUUUUUAGCGACAAAAAUUGAUUUUGAUGGCACCACUUCAGUCAGCGUUGAAAAUAUUGAGAAAUGUACCUUACGGUUUUUCGUAUGACUCAUUGUUUUUUAUGCAAUGAGGACUAUGAUAGGGGCCUAUACUGGAGAGAUAAUAGGGGAUAACAGGGAAAUCCCCAGGGAAAGCGUUUUGGGAAAUAAAGUUUUACCACAUAAACGUCUUUUUUUGACCCAAAGAAUUGACUCCAUCAAUAUUCGUGAUUAAUCCUGGGACACCCUGUAUUCUUUUACCCUCAGCUAUGAAUCCUCUGGAUCGUUUGUAAGAAUCCAGUUCCAAAGUAUACUGCUGAAUUUUAUGUUCAAGGCUUCCUUACAACUCCCUUGAUCCCGAUGCAAACCAUGUAUAACCAUGUCAACCAUAUAAACUAUGUGCAACCAUGUAAUAAGAAAAGGAUCCGUUUAAGGAACGACUACAAAUCUAAGUUUCGUUUUAACGAAGAUCUGAGCUUUUAAAACUUCCAAAUCAUGUCCUAUCUCUUUCAUUGCCUUUCCACUGUGCGUCGGCUCGCGCCCAGUACGCGAUUCGGUCGCGAGGUGGCGCGCGCGUCGUCGCGUCGCGCGGCCAACGAUCCAAAGGUAAAAGCACUUAUCUUUCGCCACGCUGAGAUAUGAUAUUCGGUAAUGGGUCUUACUCAAACCCCGGCCGGGCGCCGAAUCGCAAAUCCCUCGAUUAGAUAAUCGCAAUUAGAGUCGCCCUCAUGAGAAAAUUGCGGGCCGUUGCACUGCGUUGCCCCCGGCGACGCUCUCGCUACGUCAAAGUAUCGGUGCAGCUUCGGCAUUCCAUCAUACUGUCGUCGAACUGGGGAGAACCGUAAGUGGAAAUAAGAAGUCGAGAAAAGGGAACUUAGGGUGCGGUACUUCAAGUCCCACUUCAAGCAAUUUCUUAACUUAGAAAGCCCCAUCCCCAUGAGGCAUGUUCGAUUGACGAUUAUCUAUAAGAAAUCGGAAAAUCGAUGAUCAGUAAUCGAAAUAUGAAGCUAGUCGAUCAAGCGCUUAGUUGGCGGCGAUAUAUUCGAUUAAUUGAUAAUCGGUAGUUAAUUGAUUUUUUUCGAAAUUUGCUAAAAAUAGCCAGUUUGAAGACUAAAAUAGCAGGAAUUUUGGAUUAAUUUGCGCGAAUAACGUUAUUAAGCAUAACCUCAAAUUUACGAUUAAUCGAAAACUGAGAAUUGAUUAGACUCAAACAGAUAACUGUUAAACGAAAGGCUCUAUUAAUGGAUUAAUCGAUUACUAAUGGAUAAUCGGAACAUGCCUCCUUCACGUUCUUACGUUGUGAUUAAGGGAAGUUUGAGGAUAUGCUCUUAUCAAAGCAUCAUAAAAGGUCAAUUUUUACGAAUUUCAUAUGAAAUGUACUAAAUUUUUAUUAAAGAUACGAGUAAAAUCGGGCUUUCCUGCCAGAUAUAUUCAAUUUAGGUACUUUAGUAUAGAAAGACACCGCAAAGUGAAGUCCGCACUUGACCGUCAUUGGCGGGUAAUUUUAUACGAUGCUUUAUCUUCGAUUUGAGCGAAAGGUUUUUUACGAAAAAGUAUAUUUUUGUAGUUUAGAGGAAUAUUUGGAUUAUUUUAAUAUUAUUUUUUAAUUUGCGGCGCAAUGUGUCUAUGCGCUUACAGUUAGACUAACGUGUUGUAAGGUUGUUUUGAUUUGUUACGCAACAUUAUUUCAUUGAAUGUAGUUUAAGUGUAUUUUUUAAGUUAAAAUUCCUGUGAUAAAUACAUUUUCGAGUACUUAAGACCAAUUUUACCACCAGUUUUUUCCUUCAUUUGAUGUAAACAUCAAGUGCCUGGGCGUUCCAGGGUGAUAUGAUCGGGCAUAACCUCUGGGGCCGAAUUUUGUCGGCUUUUUCACACGGAGUGCAACAGCCAUCGAUGAGUUCAAACCGCACCACCGGCCAAUCAGAAGCGCGAAACCGGCGACUUAAGUGCGGUCGAGACCCGUUCUAAGUAUACAUAUACAGUAUACAGUACGGUGUACGGCUGUAUAAAUACGGUGGAAGGACCGACAAAAUUCGGCCCCUGGAGUAAUAUUUCCUCUUCUUCUGCCGUGCUAAGGAAGAACGCC
This 5837-nucleotide long non-coding RNA is filed under the name Bemisia tabaci. RNAcentral describes it as "lncRNA ENSSSA2NGG000909". The record is from RNAcentral. Lineage: Eukaryota; Metazoa; Arthropoda; Insecta; Hemiptera; Aleyrodidae.